AAAUAACAAGCCUCAUAUCUCCUGUAUUUCCUUCAGACUGGGAUCAUGGGCAGACACUCGGCCAUCAUUGUUUUACUAAUGUUGGUCUUAAUAUUUCAAUCACACUGUCGUCUACUUGACACUCAUAAUAGAGAUGAAAGGAAAAUGGGCGUAAGAGCGGAGUACAACACGGAGAUUGAAAAGAGAAACACCGAAGAAGUAGAAGAUUAUGGUGGUGGUCAUAGUUCGCCGGCGCCAGGUCGUGGAAAUUAGAGAAUUUACAUUCGUAUAGGUACUGAAUGAUUACCACUGGCUGAAUGAAUAGACAUAUUCGCAUCACCUUGUAUCAUGGCAAUUGCCAAGCCUACAAAUUUUUAAAUCAUGUAAUUUUAAUUGGUUAUAUUGCUUUUUGUUGGUUUUUUAAUAGACAUCUAAUGAAUAUUUAGUAGAGAAAGAAUAACCCUGGAAGCUUUUUGUUGAGAGCUGAUGCAUGAGCCUCACCGCUAUGCAUUUCAUUUUGACUACCAUGCGUAGUUUGACUGCAAGCUUAGAUUUAAUCUGGAAUUAUUUAUUUUUAGAAAUUUCAGUUAAAAGUGUUGCUAGAAUAAUGCAUAUUGGUGCAUGUUCUAUUUUUAGUUGCAUGAAUAUAAUUAAUUGUAAGGGGCUAUGAGCCUUCGAGUGGGCUAAAAUUUGUUGAGGCCACAGAGAAUCUUAAUGUCAAGGACGACAAACCACUCAAAUUCAUAGGCGAUGGCUAUGAAAGUUGAGGAUCUUAAUGUCAAGGACGACAAACCACUCAAAUUCAUUUGGACUGUGAGAGAAACAGAGAAUGGAUCGAACUCUUGGAAGGGGGCAUUGAGAAUCUGAUCAUAAUAAACAAAAGCUUUAUGUAGAAGUGAGUGAUGUAGGUUAUGAUUGUGGAUAAGAAAAUUGAGAAGAAGAAGAAAAUCAAGGCUCCUGCAGAAACCAAGAACGAGG
Molecule: long non-coding RNA, 957 nt
Organism: Cryptomeria japonica (Japanese cedar)
Lineage: Eukaryota; Viridiplantae; Streptophyta; Pinopsida; Cupressales; Cupressaceae
Exons: 3
Source: RefSeq, a predicted model, not a curated record